This 253-nucleotide ribosomal RNA is filed under the name uncultured bacterium. RNAcentral's name for it is "partial 16S ribosomal RNA". It matches the Rfam family "Bacterial small subunit ribosomal RNA", at positions 524 to 776 of the family's 1533-position model. The record is from RNAcentral.
UACGGAGGGUGCGAGCGUUAUCCGGACUCACUGGGUUUAAAGGGUGCGUGGGCGGCUCGGUAAGUCAGUUGUGAAAGCUCCUUGCUUAACGAGGGAGGUGCGAUUGAUACUGUCGAGCUUGAAUCGGGAUGAGGCAGGCGGAAUGUGGCAUGUAUCGGUGAAAUGCAUAGAUAUGCCAUAGAACACCGAUUGCGAAGGCAUCCUGCUGGGCCUGUAUUUACGCUGAGGCACGAAAGCGUGGGGAGCAAAUAGG